CCGAGUUUACAACUCCCAAACCCCAAUGUGAAACAUACCUAAUACUGUUGCCUCGGCGGGGGAUCACGCCCCGGGCGUCGCAGCCCCGGAAACAAGGACGGCCCGCCCGGAGGGACCCAACCUAAACUCUUUUCUGUAGUCCCCUCGGGGACGUUAUUAUUACAGCUCUGAGCAAAAAAUUCAAAAAUGAAAUCA
This 195-nucleotide unclassified non-coding RNA is filed under the name soil metagenome. RNAcentral describes it as "partial internal transcribed spacer 1". The record is from RNAcentral.